GGAGAGGUGGCAGAGUGGUCUAAUGCGCUGGUCUUGAAAACCAGAACAUCCGAAAGGGUGUCGCGAGUUCGAAUCUCGCCCUCUCCGCCA
Molecule: transfer RNA, 90 nt
Filed under: Candidatus Tayloriibacteriota bacterium
Lineage: Bacteria; Candidatus Tayloriibacteriota
Description: Candidatus Taylorbacteria bacterium (sediment metagenome) tRNA-Ser
Rfam family: tRNA
About the family: Transfer RNA (tRNA) molecules are approximately 80 nucleotides in length. Their secondary structure includes four short double-helical elements and three loops (D, anti-codon, and T loops).
Source: RNAcentral